This 696-nucleotide long non-coding RNA is filed under the name Oryzias javanicus (javanese ricefish). RNAcentral describes it as "lncRNA (ENSOJAG00000007645.1)". The record is from RNAcentral. Lineage: Eukaryota; Metazoa; Chordata; Actinopteri; Beloniformes; Adrianichthyidae.
UAAACAUCAGAAACAACACCUUCAAGUGAAGUCUGGUUAAAGAAAAAGCAGCGAAAUUGUCAGAAUCAUUUCUCCAAUUCCCUCCCUUCUAUUGUGCGACAGUUACAAGUCAUUUGUAGAGCUGUCUGUUUAGCAAUACAACAUUUUUUUCUUAACAAUAUGCUUUGUUUUUUUCUUUUUUGUGUCUACAGAGUAAGAGACGAAUGAGAACAGGAUGGAGUUUUUUUUGUAUCCCUGUGAAACUUCAAGAGCACAAUGCACUGCAGGAAUGGCUGACCUCUUUGAGGAUUCGACAGGCUGCACUCAUGUGGCAUGCACAUGGAAAUAAGGCAACGGACCGGCACCACAGACACACAACAGGUGUUGAAGACUAAUGUUCGGCGGAGGAGAGAAUCAAAGUUGUGAAAGUUCAGCAGCUGAUCUGACGCAUUGUAAGAGGGAAGAGAAGGCAGAUGCACAAACAAGCACUGUUUGAACGGGCAACCAAUCAGCAUGAAGCACACAGAGUGGAGGCCGGGUCAGCUGUCACAUGGAGCAUGAUGCUCAGUCUGAUCAUCAGCUACAGAAAGCACCUGUGUAGAGCAAGUGAUUUCUAGAUUUUAAUGUACUAAUAUGAAAAAGUACAUUUUCUUUAAGGAUAAAUGAUAAAACCAUUCUAUGGAGUGAUCUUUGUGCCACCAUGGUGCAAGCAAAAGU